UGAGCAACCUGCCCUUGGCUUCGGGAUAACUCCGGGAAACCGGGGCUAAUACCGGAUGUGACGCGCCCGCGCAUGGGGGUGUGUGGAAAGAUUUAUUGGCCAGGGAUGGGCUCGCGGCCUAUCAGCUUGUUGGUGGGGUGAUGGCCUACCAAGGCGACGACGGGUAGCCGGCCUGAGAGGGUGACCGGCCACACUGGGACUGAGACACGGCCAGACUCCGUACGGGAGGCA
This 231-nucleotide ribosomal RNA is filed under the name uncultured bacterium. RNAcentral describes it as "partial 16S ribosomal RNA". It matches the Rfam family "Bacterial small subunit ribosomal RNA", at positions 118 to 350 of the family's 1533-position model. The record is from RNAcentral.